Molecule: ribosomal RNA, 528 nt
Filed under: uncultured Gammaproteobacteria bacterium
Lineage: Bacteria; Pseudomonadati; Pseudomonadota; Gammaproteobacteria
Description: bacterial SSU rRNA
Rfam family: Bacterial small subunit ribosomal RNA
Source: RNAcentral
GGCGGCAGGCCUAACACAUGCAAGUCGAGCGGUAGAGAGAAGCUUGCUUCUCUUGAGAGCGGCGGACGGGUGAGUAAUGCCUAGGAAUCUGCCUGGUAGUGGGGGAUAACGCUCGGAAACGGACGCUAAUACCGCAUACGUCCUACGGGAGAAAGCAGGGGACCUUCGGGCCUUGCGCUAUCAGAUGAGCCUAGGUCGGAUUAGCUAGUUGGUGAGGUAAUGGCUCACCAAGGCGACGAUCCGUAACUGGUCUGAGAGGAUGAUCAGUCACACUGGAACUGAGACACGGUCCAGACUCCUACGGGAGGCAGCAGUGGGGAAUAUUGGACAAUGGGCGAAAGCCUGAUCCAGCCAUGCCGCGUGUGUGAAGAAGGUCUUCGGAUUGUAAAGCACUUUAAGUUGGGAGGAAGGGCAGUUACCUAAUACGUAUCUGUUUUGACGUUACCGACAGAAUAAGCACCGGCUAACUCUGUGCCAGCAGCCGCGGUAAUACAGAGGGUGCAAGCGUUAAUCGGAAUUACUGGGCGU